This 710-nucleotide ribosomal RNA is filed under the name uncultured marine alveolate. RNAcentral describes it as "SSU rRNA". It matches the Rfam family "Eukaryotic small subunit ribosomal RNA", at positions 618 to 1330 of the family's 1831-position model. The record is from RNAcentral.
GUUAAAAAGCUCGUAGUUGGGUUUCUGCCGGUGAGCGACGGUCCGCCCGAGUGGUUGGUACACGUCGCGCCGCCGGCAUCUUCCUGGGGAAUGUGUCUGCACUUCACUGUGUGGCGCGGGAUCCAGGACGUUUACUUUGAGGAAAUUACAGUGCUUCAAGCAGGCUCACGCUCUCUGAAUACGUUAGCAUGGAAUAAUAGCAUCGGACCUCGAUCCAAAGCUGUUGGUUUCUUGGAUCUGGGUAAAGGUGAAUAGGGAUUGUUGGGGGCAUUCGUAUUUAACUGUCAGAGGUGAAAUUCUUGGAUUUGUUGAAGACGGACUACUGCGAAAGCAUCUGCCAAAGAUGUUCUCAUUGAUCAAGAACGAAAGUUAGGGGAUCGAAGACGAUCAGAUACCGUCCUAGUCUUAACCAUAAACUAUGCCGACUGGAGAUCGGUGGCUGCUAUCAUUAUGGCACCAUCUGCAUCUUGAGAGAAAUCAAAGUCUUUGGGUUCCGGGGGGAGUAUGGUCGCAAGGCUGAAACUUAAAGGAAUUGACGGAAGGGCACCACCAGGAGUGGAGCCUGCGGCUUAAUUUGACUCAACACGGGGAAACUUACCAGGUCCAGACAUAGUGAGGAUUGACAGACUGAUAGCUCUUUCGAGAUUCUAUGGGUGGUGGUGCAUGGCCGUUCUUAGUUGGUGGAGUGAUUUGUCUGGUUAAUUCCGUUA